CGUUGGACCGUCAGACGUGAUUGUACGAGUUUGGCUCCAGAGCUACAGGUGGAGACAUCGUGGCUUCAGAUUUUGCCGCAGAGACAUUUCACCACCAUCUGAUGUUUGUGUCAGCGAGCGAGACCGGCCUCCGUCUUCACGGCACCAGGUGGAGCCCCUGAAGAGACCUACCGGUGCACGUUCAGAGGCAGAGCCAAGCAUCGACCUCUUCAGAUGGACUCUGGGAAAACCACCAGCAUCCUCUCUCCAGACGAACACACUCGAGACUGAUACACUACUUUACCUCCCGCCGUCCUCUCCUCGUCCUCCGGUCCAAUCAGAGAUCACCUCCUCUCUACCUCCCAGAGAAAUAGACAAAAAAAAGCAAUUUAUUAUACGUUCCUCUUUCUCUUCACUUCGUGCAACAUUUCUCCAUUUACCUCAGGGAUUCUCUCCCACUGCCUACCUCCUCCGCCGAAACAGGCAACCGAAACAGCGACUGGAACACCGAGCUGAAACACACCUGUGACCUCUCGCUGCCGUUACCAUGACAACCUGUAUUGCCUCUCAAGCUCUCCUCACUGCAACCGUGACGACCAGCAAUGACCUUGGACCUCGUACCACCUGCCAGCUCAGACCUGCUCACUGCCUAAAUUGUACUGAUCCACACUUGUAGCCUGGCGCUCGGGCGGCUUCUUACCACAAGGAAACGUGUCAUAUUGCCUCACGAUAACCCCCCCCCCCCCACCCCUUUCCCGUCAUCCCAAACUUCUGUACGACACACCUGGCAGGAAACGAUAUACCUCAGCAGACUCUCAAGGACUCCUUCUGAAGGGAACUCUGGCUCUCCUGGUGCUCCAGUCCACACACAGCAGGAAACUCACCAGCCCGGUGCUUCAAUCUACCCAGUAGACGAGUCACUUCAGCAUCUUCCAUUUGCCUUAGAGGCAGGAGUAUAGCAACAGUAGCCAGGGAGGCCUCCAGAGGAGCGCAGAGAGACUCAGGAGUCCCGCCUGGCAGGCAACUUCAUUUCAUAUGCUCCUCAGAAAAGCUUCACACACACGCCUCGCCAUCUAAGCAGUAGCAUAAAUCAGCAAUCGCCCAAGAGGCCUUUCUCAGAUCGCAGCAGAGACUCAGAAGCACCCCCUGCCUUGAGCUUCACCCCGCAACGCCUCCAGAGGAGUGGAGCUACCCACGGAGCGGCCCGACUUCCCUGCAGCUUUUUCCCGACUCUGGAGGAAAGUCGCGGAGAAGAACUCCCCUCGUCAGAUUAAACUCAGAGCAUCAUGAACCUCGGAAAGUUGGAAGAGUAAACACGGAGAUCCAUGAAGA
This is a non-coding RNA of Plectropomus leopardus (leopard coralgrouper), 1311 nucleotides long. Lineage: Eukaryota; Metazoa; Chordata; Actinopteri; Perciformes; Serranidae. The record is from RefSeq and is a predicted model, not a curated record.